Molecule: ribosomal RNA, 484 nt
Filed under: uncultured bacterium
Lineage: Bacteria
Description: partial 16S ribosomal RNA
Rfam family: Bacterial small subunit ribosomal RNA
Source: RNAcentral
AUUGAACGCUGGCGGCAGGCCUAACACAUGCAAGUCGAGCGGAUGAAGGGAGCUUGCUCCUGGAUUCCGCGGCGGACGGGUGAGUAAUGCCUAGGAAUCUGCCUGGUAGUGGGGGAUAACGUCCGGAAACGGGCGCUAAUACCGCAUACGUCCUGCGGGAGAAAGUGGGGGAUCUUCGGACCUCACGCUAUCAGAUGAGCCUAGGUCGGAUUAGCUAGUUGGUGGGGUAAAGGCCUACCAAGGCGACGAUCCGUAACUGGACUGAGAGGAGGAUCAGUCACACUGGAACGGAGACACGGUCCAGACUCCUACGGUAGGCAGCAGUGGGGAAUAUUGGACAAUGGGCGAAAGCCUGAUCCAGCCAUGCCGCGUGUGUGAAGAAGGUCUUCGGAUUGUAAAGCACUUUAAGUUGGUAGGAAGGGCAGUAAGUUAAUACCUUGCUGGUUUGACGUUACCAACAGAAGAAGCACCGGCUAACUUCGUG